CCAAGGCGAUGAUGCAUAGCCGAGUUGAGAGACUGAUCGGCCACAUUGGGACUGAGACACGGCCCAAACUCCUACGGGAGGCAGCAGUAGGGAAUCUUCCACAAUGGACGCAAGUCUGAUGGAGCAACGCCGCGUGAGUGAAGUAAGGUUUUCGGAUCGUAAAGCUCUGUUGUUGGUGAAGAAGGAUAGAGGUAGUAACUGGUCCUUUAUUUGACGGUAAUCAACCAGAAAGUCACGGGCUAACUACGUGCCAGCGCCGCGGUAAAAU
This 268-nucleotide ribosomal RNA is filed under the name uncultured Lactobacillus sp. Its description in RNAcentral is "partial 16S ribosomal RNA". It matches the Rfam family "Bacterial small subunit ribosomal RNA", at positions 268 to 526 of the family's 1533-position model. The record is from RNAcentral. Lineage: Bacteria; Bacillati; Bacillota; Bacilli; Lactobacillales; Lactobacillaceae.